This is an RNA transcript of Capra hircus (goat), 3490 nucleotides long. It is a transcript of the gene named zinc finger protein 665-like, with no coding region annotated. The record is from RefSeq and is a predicted model, not a curated record. The transcript has a single exon. NCBI's taxonomy places the organism in Eukaryota, Metazoa, Chordata, Mammalia, Artiodactyla, Bovidae.
AUAUCCCUCCUACACAUGUGAUCAAGCAUUUACAACCCACAGCGAACAGUGAUAAACUAGAAACAUUCCAAACAUUGAUGCUGGGAAGCCCUGAAAGCUGUGAAAUCAAACUUUUUCAUCUUUGGGAAAGUCAGAAAAAUAGGUGUGACUUUGAGUGUCAGGGGAGUGAUGACAAAAUAAAUUACAAAGGCACACCUAUAAGCGUUUUUGGAAAUGUGCCUGAUGGAAGAGAUUCGUAUGAUAGGAAGGAUGCAGGCAUCAAGCCCUUUGGAAAGAGCUUUGGAUUUAACUUUCAGGAUAAACUGCAGAUGUUUCAAACUGGCAGAAUAAUUUCUGAAUAUAAUGAAGUUAAGAGUUCUGUCAACAACAGUUUCUCAUUUUCACCAGUUCAAAGAAUUCCUCCUUGUGUCCAAACCAGUGUUUCUAAUAUAUAUGGAAAUGAUUUCAUGAAUCCUUCAGGAAUAAGAGAAGAACUCAAAGCACACAGGGAAAAACCUUACAAAUGUGCUGAGUGUGGCAAGACCUUUACUCACAGCUCACACCUCAAGAGACAUAAGAAAAUUCAUACAGGAAAGAAAUUAUUUAAAUGUGAUAUAUGUGACAAAGUCUUCAGCCAAAAUUCAAACCUUGCUCGUCAUCAGAAGGUUCAUACUGGAGAGAAACCUUACAAAUGUGAUGAGUGUGGCAUGGCCUUUCAUGUAAAGUCAACCCUUUUAAGUCAUCUGACAGUUCAUACUGGUGAGAAACCAUACAAAUGUGAUGAGUGUGGCAAGGCCUUUCGUCUAAAGGUAACCUUUUUAAGUCAUCUGACAAUUCAUACUGGAGAGAAACCUUACAAAUGUCAUCAGUGUGGCACGGCAUUUCGUGUAAAGUCAAGCCUUUUAAGUCAUCAGACAGUUCAUACUGGAGAGAAACCUUACAAAUGUGAUGAGUGUGGCAAGGCCUUUUGUGUAAAGUCAACCCUUUUAAGUCAUCAGACAGUUCAUACUGGAGAGAAACCUUACAAAUGUGAUCAGUGUGGCAAGGCCUUUUGUGUGAAGUCAACCCUUUUAAGUCAUCAGACAGUUCAUACUGGAGAGAAACCUUACAAAUGUGAUGAGUGUGGCAAGGCCUUUCGUCUGAAGUCAAUCCUUUUAAGGCAUCAGACAGUUCAUACUGGAGAGAAACCUUACAAAUGUGAUGAGUGUGGCACAGCCUUUCGUCUAAAGUCAAACCUUUUAAGUCAUCAGACAGUUCAUACUGGAGAGAAACCUUACAAAUGUGAUGAGUGUGGCAAGGCCUUUGCUCAGAGCUCACACCUCAGGAAACAUAAGAAAAUUCAUACAGGAAAGAAAUUAUUUAAAUGUGAUAUAUGUGACAAACUCUUCAGCCAAAAUUCAACCCUUUUAAGUCAUCUGACAGUUCAUACUGGAGAGAAACGUUAUAUAUGUGAUGAUUGUGGCAAGGCCUUUUGUCUAAAGUCAACACUUUUAAGGCAUCAGACAGUUCAUACUGGACAGAAACCUUACAAAUGUGAUGAGUGUGGCACGGCCUUUCGUCUAAAGUCAAACCUUCUAAGUCAUCAGACAGUUCAUACUGGAGAGAGACCUUACAAAUGUGAUCAAUGUGGCAAGGCCUUUCGUCUAAAGGUAACCCUUUUAAAUCAUCAGACAGUUCAUACUGGAGAGAAACCUUACAAAUGUGAUCAGUGUGGCACGGCCUUUCGUGUAAAGUCAAGCCUUUUAAGGCAUCAGACAGUUCAUACUGGAGAGAAACGUUACAAAUGUGAUGAGUGUGGCAAGGCCUUUUUUGUAAAGUCAACCCUUUUAAGUCAUCAGACAGUUCAUACUGGAGAGAAACCUUACAAAUGUGAUGAGUGUGGCAAGGCCUUUUGUGUAAAGUCAACCCUUUUAAGUCAUCAGACAGUUCAUACUGGAGAGAAACCUUACAAAUGUGAUGAGUGUGGCAAGGUCUUUCGUCUAAAAUCAAGCCUUUUAAGGCAUCAGACAGUUCAUACUGGAGAGAAACCUUACAAAUGUGAUGAGUGUGGCAAGGCCUUUCGUGUAAAGUCAACCCUUUUAGGUCAUCAGAGAGUUCAUACUGGAGAGAAACCUUACAAAUGUGAUGAGUGUGGCAAGGCCUUUGCUCAGAGCUCACACCUCAGGAAACAUAAGAAAAUACAUACAGGAAAGAAAUUAUUUAAAUAUGAUAUAUGUGACAAACUCUUAGGCCAAAAUUCAACCCUUUUAAGUCAUCAGACAGUUCAUACUGGAGAGAAACGUUUUAUAUGUGAUGAGUGUGGCAAGGCCUUUUGUCUAAAGUCAACCCUUUUAAGGCAUCAGACAGUUCAUACUGCAGAGAAACCUUACAAAUGUGAUGAGUGUCGCAGGGCCUUUCAUGUAAAGUCAAUCCUUUUAAGGCAUCAGAGAGUUCAUACUGGAGAGAAACCUUGUGAUAAGUGUGGCAAGGCCUUUACUGACAGCUCAUACCUCAGGAGACCUAAGAACAUUCAUACAGGAAAGAAAUUAUUUAAAUGUGAUAUAUGUGACAAAGUCUUCGGCCGAAGUUCGAAGCUUGCUCGUCUUCAGACGGUUCAUACUAGAGAGAAACCUUACAAAUGUGGUGUUUUUGGAAUGGCCAUUGGUAUAAAGUCAACCCUUUUAAGGCAUCAGACAGUUCAUACUGGUCAGAAACCUUACAAAUGUGAUGAGUGUGGCAAGGCCUUUCGUGAAAAGUCAACCCUUUUAAGUCAUCAGACAUUUCAUACUGGAGAGAAACCUUACAAAUGUGAUCAAUGUGGCAAGGCCUUUCAUCUAAAGUCAACCCUUUUAAGGCAUCAGACAGUUCAUACUGGAGGGAAACCUUACAUAUGUGAUGAGUGUGGCAAGGCCUUUCAUCUAAAGUCAAACCUUUUAAGGCAUCAGACAGUUCAUGCUGGAGAGAAACGUUACAAAUGUGAUGAGUGUGGUGAGGCCUUUCCUGAAAAGUCAACCCUUUUAAGUCAUCAGACAGUUCAUACUGGUGAGAAACCUUACAAAUGUGAUGAGUGUGGAUAAGUCUUUGGUCAAAAACCACAUCUUCAACUUCACUGGAGAAUUCAUACUGGAAAGAGACCUUUCAGAUGUAAUGAGUGUGGCAAGUUCUUCUGUCAAAAUUCACACCUUACAAAACAUUGGAGAAUACAUAUAGAGAAACCUUUCAAAUGUUUCGAGUGUGGAAAAUCCUUUUCUCAGGUCUUAGCACUCACUAAACAUCAGAAAAUCUAUACAUGAGAGAAACUCAUGUGAAUGUGGUAUAUGGUAGAAGUCUUCAAAAUUCACACCCUACUGUUGCUCAGAGAAUUUAUCCUACUGAGAAACCAUACAAAUAUCAUGAGUGUGGCAACAUCUUAGGCUUUAUGAGAAAAUUCAUACUGGAUAGAAGCCAGAUAUAUAUGUAUUGAUUAGUCAGGUCUUUAGAACAUGAAUUCAUUCUAGAAAGAUUCCUCACCAAUUUCACAAAUGUUAAAAAA